RNAcentral lists this ribosomal RNA (260 nucleotides) under uncultured bacterium. RNAcentral's name for it is "partial 16S ribosomal RNA". It matches the Rfam family "Bacterial small subunit ribosomal RNA", at positions 793 to 1055 of the family's 1533-position model. The record is from RNAcentral.
GUCCACGCCGUAAACGUUGGGCACUAGGUGUGGGUUUCAACCAACGAAAUCCGCGCCGUCGCUAACGCAUUAAGUGCCCCGCCUGGGGAGUACGGCCGCAAGGUUAAACUCAAAGGAAUUGACGGGGCCCGCACAAGCAGCGGAGCGUGUUGCUUAAUUCGAUGCAACGCGAAGAACCUUACCUGGGCUUGACAUGUACGGAAAAGCCGUAGAGAUACGGUGUCCUUCGGGGCCGUACACAGGUGGUGCAUGGCUGUCGU